This 1702-nucleotide long non-coding RNA is filed under the name Pandoravirus quercus. RNAcentral's name for it is "hypothetical ncRNA". The record is from RNAcentral.
CGGCGCAUACCGGCGACUCCACCGGCCGUCGCCCACAACAAAAGCGCGAGACGCGCCCGCGUCAUGCGUGCAUGUUGGCCAUGGCCGACAUGCGUAGGUUGUCUUUUGUUCCAUGCGGCCACAAUGUCGGCCAGCACCACGGCGUCAAAGUCGACAUUGACGCGUGUCUGCUCCUCCAAUGCCUUGGACAUGUUGGCGAGGGCGAUGUCGACGUCUUUGUAGGCGAUGGCGUCCCAGAGCGCGAUCGAGGCAGCCGCGGCUGCACCUGUCGUAAACAUGCGGCCAUGGGGCAGGCCUGUGAGAUCCGGCACCAACGGCACGUCGGCGUCUGCCGCCCUGGCGAGAACGGCAGAGGCUGCCAUCCCUGCCACAGCCUCAAAGAAAGGGCUUUGGUCCAGGCCGCCAUGUGACCCAAGGGCGGACCACAGCGGUCGCCUUUGGUCGGCGUUGGUGCCACACGACAGCGCAAACUCGCUGAUGGCGUCCCUGCACCACACAGAUAGCGAUGCAGCCCGACGGCGUCGAGCGCGCGGCACCAGGUCUUCCAGCGUGACAUAAAAGGUGACAUCGCUCAUCGCAUUGUAGGUGUGUCUUUGGCGCAUCACAAUAUAGGCGAUUGCGUCGCGCCACGUAUCCGUGUGUGCCUCGGAGAGGUCACCCCCCUGCAGGCCAUUCCAGUCGUCGACAGUGUCGAAAAAGGCACGCAUGAUGCCGCCUCGAUUGUCGACGAUGGCAUAUAAUGCGCCCUGUACGUCGGACGCUCGCGAAAAGGCCAUCGUGACCAAGGCAGUAAUAUUCAUGCUCGACCUCCAGCAGGGAAUGGAUCGGUCGACAUGGACGACAAUCGAAUCGGUCGGUUGGGGUGCGCGAUCGUGUCCAAGGGCCCGAUAUGCCUCGGUCCCAUAAAACCCUGCGCCGAGGCGGCGGUCAAGGUCCCUUGCGGCCUCGGGCGACAGCGGCACGACAGUCGCGAUGCGUGCCAAUGCAAGAAACGGUGCCAACAUGUCGGCCAAGACCCCCAUGGCGGCUCCAGCGCGGGCGUCCAACGAAGCGCGCCAGCGCAACUCCCAGAUGACGAGCCACGAGUAAAACUUUUCAGGCGACCCCGCGACAUCACGAUGCACACGCAAAACAUAGGGCUCGUGCGCUGGUGGCUCGAUGGCGUCGACGACAUUGGGUCGGUCGGCAUCCAAGAGGGCGUUGACAGCCACUAGGCGGUUGAGAGUUGCGACGGCAUGGCGGCAUGCGUCGAGGAGCCAUGCCGCUGCACGCCAUGAUCUCGGCACCGUCCACGCAAUCUGUGGGUCGUCGGCAGCGGGGACACAUUGGUGUGGUCCAAACUUGGGGUCAAACCGGCCGGCGAUGCCCACGCGCGGUCCCCAUGUGGUGCGCAGCACGCCGUCAUCGACCAAAAAAUGGGCGGACGCUUUGUUGGCAAGUGCCAAGGCCAUAUAGUCGCACAUUGGCAGAAAGCCGAGCACAUGCACGAGACAAUCAUUGUCGAGCGUCGCCAAUACUCGGGCCAUCCUAGUGAGGGCGACAAUGUUGAUGGCGACAACAACAACAACCAACGGCGGCAACGGUAGGUGGGCGUCCAGACAAAAAAUGAGUCGAAAAAAAAAAGAAUUGCACGACAGCAGCACAAGGACGGGAACAAGGACGAAAAAAGGACCAGGCCAAUGGCGCGCAUCUGACGCCCCCG